GACGAACGCUGGCGGCGUGCUUAACACAUGCAAGUCGAACGGAAAGGCCCUGCUUUUGUGGGUUGCUCGAGUGGCGAACGGGUGAGUAACACGUGAGUAACCUGCCCUUGACUUUGGGAUAACUUCAGGAAACUGGGGCUAAUACCGGAUAGGAGCUCCUGCUUCAUGGUGGGGGUUGGAAAGUUUCGGCGGUUGGGGAUGGACUCGCGGCUUAUCAGCUUGUUGGUGGGGUAGUGGCUUACCAAGGCUUUGACGGGUAGCCGGCCUGUGAGGGUGACCGGCCACAUUGGGACUGAGAUACGGCCCAGACUCCUACGGGAGGCAGCAGUGGGGAAUAUUGCACAAUGGGCGGAAGCCUGAUGCAGCAACGCCGCGUGCGGGAUGACGGCCUUCGGGUUGUAAACCGCUUUCGCCUGUGACGAAGCGUGAGUGACGGUAAUGGGUAAAGAAGCACCGGCUAACUACGUG
This 468-nucleotide ribosomal RNA is filed under the name uncultured bacterium. RNAcentral describes it as "partial 16S ribosomal RNA". It matches the Rfam family "Bacterial small subunit ribosomal RNA", at positions 28 to 507 of the family's 1533-position model. The record is from RNAcentral.